Doryrhamphus excisus (bluestripe pipefish) is the source of this 295-nucleotide non-coding RNA. NCBI's taxonomy places the organism in Eukaryota, Metazoa, Chordata, Actinopteri, Syngnathiformes, Syngnathidae. The record is from RefSeq and is a predicted model, not a curated record.
CCCCUCUGUCACUAUGAAUGAAUACAUAGAGGUUCACUUUAAUUGACAUCAACAUGACAAGGACUAAAGUAGUGCAAAAGAAGCCUCUAUGUUAGCAUCGGGUGUGAACUUUACACACUGGUUUGCUGAAGUGAAGAAAAAAUGGAAGGACAAGGGGACGGACGGCACAACGGUCCAAAUUGCUACCGUAUUCCACUGCCAAUAGGAAAUGGAGCACGGAAUAUCGAGACCUUGGGACUAAGAGUUGUUAUUUCAAAUCAGGAGAUCAUCUUUUCCAUCCAUGCCCUGAUACGGC